This 424-nucleotide ribosomal RNA is filed under the name uncultured bacterium. RNAcentral's name for it is "bacterial SSU rRNA". It matches the Rfam family "Bacterial small subunit ribosomal RNA", at positions 355 to 796 of the family's 1533-position model. The record is from RNAcentral.
CGAGGGAUUUUCGGCAAUGGGCGCAAGCCUGACCGAGCAACGCCGCGUGCGGGAUGACGCCCUUCGGGGUGUAAACCGCUUUUCCCGGGGACGAGAAUGACGGUACCCGGGGAAUAAGCCUCGGCUAACUACGUGCCAGCAGCCGCGGUAAGACGUAGGAGGCGAGCGUUGUCCGGAUUUACUGGGCGUAAAGCGCGCGCAGGCGGUCACGCAGGUCAUCUGUGAAAGCACCCGGCUCAACCGGGUUGUUGCGGGUGAAACCGCGUGACUUGAGGUCGGGAGGGGUCGGUGGAAUUCCCGGUGUAGUGGUGAAAUGCGUAGAUAUCGGGAGGAACACCCGUAGCGAAGGCGGCCGACUGGACCGAUCCUGACGCUGAGGCGCGAAGGCCAGGGGAGCGAACGGGAUUAGAUACCCCCGUAGUCC